GACGAACGCUGGCGGCGUGCUUAACACAUGCAAGUCGAACGGAAAGGCCCUGCUUUUGUGGGGUGCUCGAGUGGCGAACGGGUGAGUAACACGUGAGUAACCUGCCCUUGACUUUGGGAUAACUUCAGGAAACUGGGGCUAAUACCGGAUAGGAGCUCCUGCUGCAUGGUGGGGGUUGGAAAGUUUCGGCGGUUGGGGAUGGACUCGCGGCUUAUCAGCUUGUUGGUGGGGUAGUGGCUUACCAAGGCUUUGACGGGUAGCCGGCCUGAGAGGGUGACCGGCCACAUUGGGACUGAGAUACGGCCCAGACUCCUACGGGAGGCAGCAGUGGGGAAUAUCGCACAAUGGGCGGAAGCCUGAUGCAGCAACGCCGCGUGCGGGAUGACGGCCUUCGGGUUGUAAACCGCUUUCGCAUGUGACGAAGCGUGAGUGACGGUAAUGGGUAAAGAAGCACCGGCUAACUACGUG
This 468-nucleotide ribosomal RNA is filed under the name uncultured bacterium. Its description in RNAcentral is "partial 16S ribosomal RNA". It matches the Rfam family "Bacterial small subunit ribosomal RNA", at positions 28 to 507 of the family's 1533-position model. The record is from RNAcentral.